Molecule: long non-coding RNA, 598 nt
Filed under: Sorghum bicolor (sorghum)
Lineage: Eukaryota; Viridiplantae; Streptophyta; Magnoliopsida; Poales; Poaceae
Description: long non-coding RNA (SBIC_LNC004582)
Source: RNAcentral
ACCAACGAGUAAAUUUGUAUGCGUGCUCCCUUUCCCGGAUGGUGAUGCAAGAAGACACAGAGAUUUAUCCUGGUUCGGGCAAGAGAAGGCCCUACGUCCAGCGGGGGGAGAGAGUUUGUAUUAUCUUGCACCUAAGUGCUUGUACAGGGGCGAAUACAAGCGUGGUAUGAAGUGUGGAGCUCUACUACGUAUGAGCGUGGUCUGGUGUUGUGAUCCUUCUCCGAUCUAUUCCUGAGUCUCUCCUUUUAUAGCUCCAAGGAGAGACCUAGGGUACAUGCGUAGAUGUUAGAGUAGGGGUCGAUAGCCGCAUGGAGCGCUGACCUACUCGAGGCUUCCGUACGACAUGGCCUCGAGCCGUCCCAUCUUUAUAGCCCGGUGAUGAUUACGCGUGCUCCUGCGUUCUGCCCUGCCCGCCGCCUCGCGCUGGUUCUGAGGUCGCACGCUUGUACGGUAUGGCGGCAGAUCCGGCGGGGUAGUUGUGGUGUUGUCAGUCGACGCCCAACUUGUCCCUAGGAAGGGACCCUGUUCGGUCGAGGGUCGGACGCCGUGUAAUGCGCUGAUAUCUGGAGCGCUGACCUUGGAGGUCUCGAGGGGGUCC